GUCUCUUUGAGUAUUUUUAAUAGAGAGUUGGGCCUGCUCGGUGAUUAAUAUUAAACAGCUGCGGUAUUAUAACUGUACUAAGGUAGCAUAAUAAUUUGCCUUAUAAAUUGGGGCUAGAAUGAAUGGUUUGACGAAAAUUAUACUGUCUCUAGUUUAUUUAUUAGAAGUUAAUUUUUAUAGUGAAAAAGCUUGGAUAGUUUAAAGGGACGAGAAGACCCUAUUGAGCUUGUAUUAUAUAUUAAAGUUAUAAUUGUAUUUAUUUAGUAUAAUUUUGGUUGGGGUGAUCAAGGAAUAAAAAUUAAUUUAAUUAACUUCCUUAAUAAAAUUAUAUAUGUAUGAAUAAACCAAAUGAUUUUUGCUUAUAAGAUAAGUUACCAUAGGGAUAACAGCGUAAUUUUUUUUGAAAGUUCUUAUUGAAAAAAGAGAUUGCGACCUCGAUGUUGGAUUAAAAUAACCUUAAGGUGUAGAGGCUUUAUUUGGUAAAUCUGUUCGAUUUUUAAAAUUUU
Molecule: ribosomal RNA, 506 nt
Filed under: Hapalochlaena lunulata
Lineage: Eukaryota; Metazoa; Mollusca; Cephalopoda; Octopoda; Octopodidae
Description: partial 16S rRNA
Rfam family: Bacterial large subunit ribosomal RNA
Source: RNAcentral